Saccostrea echinata is the source of this 339-nucleotide long non-coding RNA. RefSeq lists it as uncharacterized. The transcript is spliced from 4 exons. NCBI's taxonomy places the organism in Eukaryota, Metazoa, Mollusca, Bivalvia, Ostreida, Ostreidae. The record is from RefSeq and is a predicted model, not a curated record.
GUUUCUAUACUAAAUAGGGAGGGUACCAUCUAGGACUUAUAAAACUGCUAAUUUAAAUUUGUGACUGAUAAAAAAAAAUGAAGGACUUAUUCAUAUGCUUGCUUGUUCUGAUUAUCGUUGAAGUAAUAUCAGCUUACUACGUUCCGUCCUGGAACAGUAACCCAUGGCAACAGAGGAGCUACUUUCCAAGGUUUAACCCACAAGCAUACUUUCUGAACGAGUUUUACGAUGAAGUUUUCGACUAAUUACAAUGUUGCCUUCUUGGACGCCAUUAUUUUGUCCUAUUCCCGUUGUUGAUGUGGUCUCUUUUUUCUAUAAUGAAUAAAAUUAAUAAAGUUU